This 321-nucleotide unclassified non-coding RNA is filed under the name Hevea brasiliensis (rubber tree). The record is from RNAcentral. Lineage: Eukaryota; Viridiplantae; Streptophyta; Magnoliopsida; Malpighiales; Euphorbiaceae.
AUAUUCGAUCAAGACUGGGCAAACCUCGAACCAAUAGCAGUGAGGAGAACCACCAACAGGGGAACCCUUCUAUUCCAGCAAAUGGAGAGGAUUCUUCCAAUGGAACAGACUCAUCAUCAGGUUCUGAAUGAGCAGUAUGCUUCCUUCAAAGCACUAACUCUAAAAUCUGUAUAAGAGUACAGUUCCAUAUCCACCCCAAUUCUGUAAAUUAGGGGUGACCUGACGACUCUCUUUUUGGCUAUAGAGAAGAUCUUUUACGGAGUUCUGGAUGCCAAAGUGCACAUUCAGAAAAUUUUCUGUUCCCAUAAGAAAAAAAGAAGA